RNAcentral lists this ribosomal RNA (467 nucleotides) under Moraxella sp. canine oral taxon 017. RNAcentral's name for it is "bacterial SSU rRNA". It matches the Rfam family "Bacterial small subunit ribosomal RNA", at positions 9 to 472 of the family's 1533-position model. Lineage: Bacteria; Pseudomonadati; Pseudomonadota; Gammaproteobacteria; Moraxellales; Moraxellaceae. The record is from RNAcentral.
GAGUUUGAUCAUGGCUCAGAUUGAACGCUGGCGGCAGGCUUAACACAUGCAAGUCGAACGAUGAUUACUAGCUUGCUAGUAUGAUUAGUGGCGAACGGGUGAGUAAUGCUUAGGAAUCUGCCUAUUAGUGGGGGACAACAUUCCGAAAGGAAUGCUAAUACCGCAUACGUCCUACGGGAGAAAGCAGGGGAUCGCAAGACCUUGCGCUAAUAGAUGAGCCUAAGUCGGAUUAGCUAGUUGGUGGGGUAAAGGCCUACCAAGGCGACGAUCUGUAGCUGGUCUGAGAGGAUGAUCAGCCACACUGGGACUGAGACACGGCCCAGACUCCUACGGGAGGCAGCAGUGGGGAAUAUUGGACAGUGGGCGAAAGCCUGAUCCAGCCAUGCCGCGUGUGUGAAGAAGGCCUUUUGGUUGUAAAGCACUUUAAGUGGGGAGGAAAAGCUAAUAAUUAAUACCUAUAGCCCUGA